Molecule: non-coding RNA, 246 nt
Organism: Vicia faba (fava bean)
Lineage: Eukaryota; Viridiplantae; Streptophyta; Magnoliopsida; Fabales; Fabaceae
Source: the annotation of a GenBank genome assembly
AUGGUGGAGCAUAAAUUCAUAAUUGAGCAGCUUACAGAAUUUCACAAGAUCAUUGAUGAUCUUGAGAAUAUUAAAGUGGAGAUUGAUGAUGAUGACAAGGCUUUACUAUUGUUGAGUUCAUUGCUCAGAUCCUUUGAGCACUUUAAGGAUGUCCUUUUUUAUAGUAAGGAAUGUACUAUUUCUUUGGAUGAAGUCCAGACGACAGUGAAAUACAAAGAAUUUUUAAAGUUAAGAUUUGAAGAUUGA